This 978-nucleotide ribosomal RNA is filed under the name Salmonella enterica subsp. enterica serovar Newport. RNAcentral's name for it is "partial 23S ribosomal RNA". It matches the Rfam family "Bacterial large subunit ribosomal RNA", at positions 657 to 1554 of the family's 2925-position model. The record is from RNAcentral. Lineage: Bacteria; Pseudomonadati; Pseudomonadota; Gammaproteobacteria; Enterobacterales; Enterobacteriaceae.
AUAGGGGAGCCGGAGGGAAACCGAGUCUUAAUUGGGCGUUAAGUUGCAGGGUAUAGACCCGAAACCCGGUGAUCUAGCCAUGGGCAGGUUGAAGGUUGGGUAACACUAACUGGAGGACCGAACCGACUAAUGUUGAAAAAUUAGCGGAUGACCUGUGGCUGGGGGUGAAAGGCCAAUCAAACCGGGAGAUAGCUGGUUCUCCCCGAAAGCUAUUUAGGUAGCGCCUCGUGAAUUCAUCUCCGGGGGUAGAGCACUGUUUCGGCUAGGGGGCCAUCCCGGCUUACCAACCCGAUGCAAACUGCGAAUACCGGAGAAUGUUAUCACGGGAGACACACGGCGGGUGCUAACGUCCGUCGUGAAGAGGGAAACAACCCAGACCGCCAGCUAAGGUCCCAAAGUCAUGGUUAAGUGGGAAACGAUGUGGGAAGGCCCAGACAGCCAGGAUGUUGGCUUAGAAGCAGCCAUCAUUUAAAGAAAGCGUAAUAGCUCACUGGUCGAGUCGGCCUGCGCGGAAGAUGUAACGGGGCUAAACCAUGCACCGAAGCUGCGGCAGCGAACGUAUCACUUAAAGCGAUUCAGCGGGUUACGAUUGACGGAGCGAAGCGACGUCAAAGCGUAUACAAAGUCGAGUCGGUUUAAGGAUACGUUCGUUGGGUAGGGGAGCGUUCUGUAAGCCUGUGAAGGUGGCCUGUGAGGGUUGCUGGAGGUAUCAGAAGUGCGAAUGCUGACAUAAGUAACGAUAAAGCGGGUGAAAAGCCCGCUCGCCGGAAGACCAAGGGUUCCUGUCCAACGUUAAUCGGGGCAGGGUGAGUCGACCCCUAAGGCGAGGCCGAAAGGCGUAGUCGAUGGGAAACAGGUUAAUAUUCCUGUACUUGGUGUUACUGCGAAGGGGGGACGGAGAAGGCUAUGUUGGCCGGGCGACGGUUGUCCCGGUUUAAGCGUGUAGGCUGGUUUUCCAGGCAAAUCCGGAAAAUCAAG